Molecule: long non-coding RNA, 236 nt
Organism: Pieris napi
Lineage: Eukaryota; Metazoa; Arthropoda; Insecta; Lepidoptera; Pieridae
Exons: 3
Source: RefSeq, a predicted model, not a curated record
AGAUGCUGAGCGUCUUCUAUGGUGGCAUUGGAGAAGGCGACCUUUUGGGAAAACAAGCCAGUAUGAAUACAAAGAAGAUGGAAUACAAUCUUUGCUAGGACAUGGUGUGUAAUGCUGACGAGUAUGAAGCCUAGAUUUUACAACGUCUAACUAGUCUAAGGUCUAGAAUAGCUACCGGUUCUGUAAUAAUUAAUAUAGUUUAAUUAUUAAAAUAGGUCUGGAAAAUUAGAUAUUAA